AGAGUUUGAUCCUGGCUCAGAACGAACGUUAGCGGCGCGCCUAACACAUGCAAGUCGAGCGAGAAAGGGAGCAAUCCCCGGUACAGCGGCGCACGGGUGAGUAACACGUAGGUAAUCUGCCUCCGAGUGGGGGAUAACCUUCCGAAAGGAGGGCUAAUACCGCAUAAGACCAAGCCUCCGAGAGGGGGAGAGGUCAAAGCCGGCCACUAUACAUAAGCUGGCGCUUGGAGAUGAGCCUGCGGCCCAUCAGCUAGUUGGUAGGGUAACGGCCUACCAAGGCGAAGACGGGUAGCUGGUCUGAGAGGAUGAUCAGCCACACUGGAACUGAGACACGGUCCAGACUCCUACGGGAGGCAGCAGUGGGGAAUCUUGCGCAAUGGGCGAAAGCCUGACGCAGCGACGCCGCGUGGGUGAUGAAGGCCUUCGGGUUGUAAAGCCCUGUGGAGGGGGACGAAUAAGGGCAGCCUAAUACGCUGACUGAUGACGGUACCCCUUUAGCAAGCACCGGCUAACUCUGUGCCAGCAGCCGCGGUAAGACAGAGGGUGCAAACGUUGUUCGGAAUUACUGGGCGUAAAGCGCGUGUAGGCGGCUUGGCAAGUCGGGUGUGAAAGCCCUGGGCUCAACCUAGGAAGUGCACUCGAAACUGCUUCGCUUGAGUGUCGGAGAGGAAAGCGGAAUUCUCGGUGUAGAGGUGAAAUUCGUAGAUAUCGAGAGGAACACCGGUGGCGAAGGCGGCUUUCUGGACGAUAACUGACGCUGAGACGCGAAAGCGUGGGGAGCAAACAGGAUUAGAUACCCUAGUAGUCC
This 808-nucleotide ribosomal RNA is filed under the name uncultured bacterium. RNAcentral's name for it is "bacterial SSU rRNA". It matches the Rfam family "Bacterial small subunit ribosomal RNA", at positions 8 to 796 of the family's 1533-position model. The record is from RNAcentral.